RNAcentral lists this ribosomal RNA (713 nucleotides) under uncultured bacterium. Its description in RNAcentral is "bacterial SSU rRNA". It matches the Rfam family "Bacterial small subunit ribosomal RNA", at positions 47 to 783 of the family's 1533-position model. The record is from RNAcentral.
CCUAAAACAUGCAAGUCGAUCGGAGCCUUCGGGCUCCGAGGCGAACGGCGGAGUAACAGAGUGAACAACGUGCCCUAAAGACCGGGAAGGUCCGUGGAAACGCUGGGUAACAGACGGAUGUGGAAGUUUCUCGGCAUCGAGAGACUUUUAAAUGGUUUUUCGCUUUAGGAGCGGUUCCGAGCCUAUCCGGUAGUUGGUGGGGUGAAGGCCUACCUUCAAAGACGACGGGUAGCGGGUCUGAGAGGAUGACCCGCUCGAGUGGGACUUAUAGGGAGCCCACACACCUACGGGUGGCCGCCGUUGGGAAUCUUGCACAAUGGGGGAAACCCUGAUGCCGCGACGCCGCGUGGAGGAUGACGGGUCUAGGCCUGUAAACUCCUUUUACCCGGAAAGACUUAGGACGGUACCUGGUGAAUAAGCACCGGCUAACUACGUGCCCGCCGCCGCGGUAAGACGUAGGGUGCAAGCGUUGUCCGGAUUUACUGGGCGUAAAGGGCGCGUAGGCGGCUCGUUAAGUGUGAAGUGAAAUCCCUAGGGCUCAACCCCGGAACUGCUUCCACAGAUGGUGGGCUUGAGGAUCGAAGAGGCUUGUGGAAUUCCUGGUGUAGCGGUGAAAUGCGUUGAAGUCCGGAGGAACACCCAUGGCGAAGGCCGCAAGCUGGUCGAUUCCUGACGCUGAGGCGCGAAAGCGUGGGUAGCAAACCGGAUUAGAA